Molecule: long non-coding RNA, 349 nt
Organism: Stegodyphus dumicola
Lineage: Eukaryota; Metazoa; Arthropoda; Arachnida; Araneae; Eresidae
Gene: Ssdp
Source: RefSeq, a predicted model, not a curated record
GUCCUAGAGUAGAAGAGCGACUGCUGCAUCGAGAGGGCCGAGUCCAAUCACAUCCGCGGCCGUGACAGAUCAAUUUAUGUUUCUAUGGUAACAAGGUCGGUGUGGUCCUGAAUGUCUUGACAGGUGUGUGCCGUUUAAGUUUACAGCAUGUACGCGAAAGGAAAAGGCUCCACAGUACCAUCAGAUGCUCAAGCCAGAGAAAAGUUAGCGUUAUAUGUUUACGAAUAUUUACUUCACGUUGGAGCACAGAAAGCUGCACAGACAUUCCUUUCAGAAAUACGAUGGGAAAAAAAUAUAACAUUAGGAGAGCCUCCUGGGUUUUUACAUUCAUGGUGGUGGUAAGUAUUUU